RNAcentral lists this ribosomal RNA (253 nucleotides) under uncultured bacterium. Its description in RNAcentral is "partial 16S ribosomal RNA". It matches the Rfam family "Bacterial small subunit ribosomal RNA", at positions 524 to 776 of the family's 1533-position model. The record is from RNAcentral.
UACGAAGGGGGCUAGCGUUGUUCGGAAUCACUGGGCGUAAAGCGCACGUAGGCGGAUUGUUAAGUCAGGGGUGAAAUGCCAAGGCUCAACCUUGGAACUGCCUUUGAUACUGGCAAUCUCGAGUCCGGGAGAGGUGAGUGGAACUGCGAGUGUAGAGGUGAAAUUCGUAGAUAUUCGCAAGAACACCAGUGGCGAAGGCGGCUCACUGGCCCGGUACUGACGCUGAGGUGCGAAAGCGUGGGGAGCAAACAGG